RNAcentral lists this ribosomal RNA (305 nucleotides) under uncultured bacterium. RNAcentral's name for it is "bacterial SSU rRNA". It matches the Rfam family "Bacterial small subunit ribosomal RNA", at positions 335 to 637 of the family's 1533-position model. The record is from RNAcentral.
UUUCCUACGGGGCGCAGCAGUGAGGAAUAUUGGUCAAUGGGCGCAAGCCUGAACCAGCCAAGUCGCGUGAGGGAAGACGGCCCUACGGGUUGUAAACCUCUUUUGCCGGGGAGCAAGCCUGAGCACGUGUGCCCAGGCGGAGAGUACCCGGAGAAAAAGCAUCGGCUAACUCCGUGCCAGCAGCCGCGGUAAUACGGAGGAUGCGAGCGUUAUCCGGAUUUAUUGGGUUUAAAGGGUGCGUAGGCGGGAUGCCAAGUCAGCGGUAAAAAUGCGGUGCUCAACGCCGUCGAGCCGUUGAAACUGGG